GUAAUAUUGAGUUGCAUUGAUUUACACUGACGUUCAUCAAGCUGUGCAGACCUGGACGGUGGCUGAUGAAACCUGUAGAACAAUGCGGAUGAAACGGUAAAUGAAUACGGAAUGUUUGUUUUUCGUUUGUUUGCACGCGCCUUUUGUUUGUUUGCGCAUGCGCCAACCAAACUCUCAUCCGGCGUGUUUACGCGACGUGUAUUUUUCGAGUGCAGCGGCUCAAAGUGGCGCUGUGCAGCGUGUGUAAGCUAAUGGGUAUUUUUAUUUACUUUUUGUGCGCGAGGGCUCACAAAACGAUCCACGGAGCGUGCCCAAUGAACAAACGCACGUUCUGGAACACGAACAUGAGCAGAACAUGCACAGGCGAGCAUUCGGAACCUUCUAGAACAUUCCAGUACAAGCGAACAUAGUUGAGGAGCGUCCUAGAAUUUUCCACAACAUUCCGACAACCAGUUAAAACGUUAUGGAAGGGUACGUUUUAAGAGGUAUGACAUGUACAAAUGUUUGAAGGCAAUAAAUCGCCGAGAGGGUUUUAAAAAAUGCUACAAAGUUACAAAAACCUCGUUAUUUUUGCGAGGUUAGAAUGUAUUCAAGUGUACAAACAGAUUAUGCUUUGUUUGCUUGGUAUUUAUUAAAAUUUAUCCCGUGUUAAGUGUUCUACGUGUAUUCCGCUGAUAAUCCACGUAUUAAUUUAAAAUACAUGGAAGGCAGGCCAACGUGUGUAAGCCAAAACGUGUUUUCCAGCGCAUGUUUCGAAGCGUAAGGAUUGGUCCUGACCGAAAAAGAUUCAACGUAAUUUCAUUUUGCAUCCACGACGACCCAAAACGUCCCAACGGACGACCCGCAAUGUUUGAAUAUUUGGAGGCGAAGCAAAAAGAAGAGUUAAAAGUAUAUAGUCCUAUAGUUAAUAAGAAAGCAACGAAGAAACUACGAAAACUCUGUUGGUGAGUUCAAGGAAAACAAGAAUAACAAGAAUUAAAAUGGAAAAGGACCAAUAGGAUAGUAGGGUAACAUGUUUUCAUGUUUUCGCUUGGCUUGCUCAGGCGGGUCGAGUAAGUUUGCAUUCUCGUCCUCGUCGAGGACUCCAGAUGGCCAGAUGCGACGUCCUGCGGGAGGACGUGUGCGGGCGCCCUUCCAAUUCGGGCGGAAACAAUUGUUUCAACUCUGACAGCGACAUUCCUCUCUUUCUCCUCGUGCGUGCCAAUAUAUACAUUUAAAUUAGAACAGAAGCAUCUGGUGUCGACGUUAAACAAAUUUAUAGAACCAAUUUAGGUUAUAAUAGCAAUCCGCAUUAGUAUUACAUUUAACAUUAAUGAAAACAAACAAUUUCUUCGGGGCGCAAUGAAUUAAUUUGUUGGAAUGUUUGGCAUUUUGAAAUUUAAUCUUUACUUAUAGUAUCAAAGUGUAGGAUGACAGUGGGUUGCAACGGCGAGGAAUUUAAUGAAAGACAGAUGCGUGCAACCCUUCCGUUUUCCGGUUCAUCCAGCAGGUUGGUGAGUGAGUCGGUUCUAUGAGGUGGCAUCUGCUCAACUGCCGACACGUAACUGUUGGAGCACGCGAUGCAAGCAAGGACGAAGAAUGAAGGAUAAAGGACGAAGGACGAGACGAAAAUAACGUACUUAUGACGAAAAUAUUACGCGGAGGUAUUUCGUAGGAGUAUUCUACAUUCAGGUAUUAUAUAUUUUCGAAUAUUAUUGUUGUUUGGAUGAAAAAUCUAUUUUUAAUCUUUGCUUUUAAUAUUCGAGAUUUUUUGCGGUAUAAACGAACAAAAGUCCUAUAAAUAAUUGAAUAGGUUUGGAAAAUAUAAUUUACAUGCAUAAUAUCAUGUUUACCAAUUAAUUAUUAAUGAAUAAAGGAUAAAUAUUUUAUUAUUUGCAUAUUUAUUCACGAAUAUGUGAAUCAAUAGUUCAAUAUUUGAACGAAAUGAAAAUAUUAAUCGUAAAAACAUAUUAAUAUAUUUUAGCAAAAUUAGCGAUGCACUUAAUAUAUUCAGUUGCAUUAAAUAAUAAAUAAUAAUUUCACGUUUGCGUUCAAAAUUUAAUUUAAUAUGAUUGCUUUUAGCUGUGAAGAGUAAUAAUAUGAAAAUGGUGCAAUGAGAGUUUUGCUAAUUAUUCUGGCAAAUUGAAAUGUUCCAACGAUACGAACUAAUUUGAAAUCAAAUAUUCAAAUCAUAAACACAAUCAAUCACGUUUAAAUUGUUCGCUGCGCGUUAAAACCACUUCAAUCGCAUUAAAAACUUAAUUAUAUGAUAGCGUCAUAUAGCUAAAUUAUAUUUCCAUGAAACUAUUGGUGUUAAAAUUGUUUAAUGUUAUCUGCAUUGCACGAGCAUCUGCAUUGCACCAGUGGAUAGUAGCAAGGUAGAAAUUGCGUCAUUUAUGCAAAGAGUAAAUUAAUUUUACUCUUUACGUUAUACUCUCGCUUGAUAAGAAUAUUCUACGGAGGUUAAAGUGUAUAUAAUCAUAGUUUUUACUUAAAAUUGAAGUUUAAAUUAAAAAAUUGAGUUUUUAACUUUAAUUUAUUGCCUAAACAUGCAUGCAUCUUCAAAAUCUUUAUAUAAAAGUUGAUUUUGUUAGUUAAAACACUUAUAACUACAGACCGGCUGGACAGAUUUUGAUGAUCUAUGAUUUUUUUAAUUCGUAUUUAUCUUGAAUAGCAGAAUAAUUAUUAAAAUAUAAAAAAAUUGAUUUAAAGGAAGUUAAAUCUAUGAUAUAAAAAUGAAGUGCAAAAUCUGUUGGAAAGCGCAUAUCUCAACAACGCCUAGACCAAUUUGGCCAAUUAUUUUUUUAAAUGUUCGUUAAAGUCCAAGGAUGGUUUAUACGGCGAGAAAAAUUCGAGUAAUUGUUGAGUUGGCAUUGAGAUUCAAUCAUAGUUAUAAUUAAAUAGUUGAAUCCGAUGGCGUUAACGUGCAUAAUUAGCAUUUCUUAUUUCUUUAAAAUAAAAUUGUGGAACUUAUUGAUGAAAUCAUCACCUACUAAGUCCAAGAAACAAGGAUGUAAGAAUUUCUUAUAUUUUUAGUAAGAACUACGAGACUAUGUCGCGAAUAAAACUAAGUUUCAUACAAAA
Long non-coding RNA from Dalotia coriaria, 3063 nucleotides. RefSeq lists it as uncharacterized. The record is from RefSeq and is a predicted model, not a curated record. The transcript is spliced from 2 exons. Lineage: Eukaryota; Metazoa; Arthropoda; Insecta; Coleoptera; Staphylinidae.